This is a non-coding RNA of Elaeis guineensis (African oil palm), 961 nucleotides long. Lineage: Eukaryota; Viridiplantae; Streptophyta; Magnoliopsida; Arecales; Arecaceae. The record is from RefSeq and is a predicted model, not a curated record.
GGAAGAAAGAAAGAAAGAAAGAAAGGAAGGAGGAGGGAGGAAGGAAGGAAAUAAAGAAAAACGGCGCACAUGAACAAAGAAAAUUGGACGAGGGCCAAAAAGGCGGCAUUCCUUGCUUUAUAUGCUUGCCUACUCAAAUGCAGCCAUUGCAGAAAGGUCUCUCUCCCCUCUCAGUGACCGCCGACGGUGAGGUCUGGGCGUGGGGCCGGAACGAGGAGAGUCACCUCGGAAGGGGCGACUGCCGGUCCAAGGUCCCUCCUUUGACCCAUUUUCAGCUUGAUUUCGCCCCUUUUAGGGAAUGCCAAAUUCUUAAACUAUGUUGCGAUGAUUUUUGGGCGCUGCCUUUCUGCUUCUUGGUCGAGAUUUGGUUUCCCUCUCUCAUUGCAGUUUGAUGACGCUGGUUUGGAAUCACUCCAUCUAUUGUGCGAGGUUUUGAAGUUCCAAUUAGUGAUCACGGCACAAAUUUGGGUGGCUUGCUUGGAAGGUGGUCUUGAUUCUAUGGCCCGUCAUGUGGUUGUGGAUUCUUGUACCUGUUCAAGUUGUUGACAAUUUGGUGCCUUUGGAAUUUCUGGUAAUACCCUUCGUUGCUACCUUUUCUAUGAGUCAUGAUUCUUGCAAGGUGGGUUUUGGGGUACCUAUUGAAGUUUGCAGGGUUUUUCUUGGGCUCUAUGUAUUAUGUGUUGAACAUCCAGCCUUUCGAUGUACCUUUAUUAUUGAGCUGAUUGAUGCCUUGGUUUAUUCCAGAAAAUCUAUAUUAGGAUAUUUGUCUCUUGAAGUAUAGGACAUUUUCUUUGUUUUGCAAAAUUAACAGUUACUGUUGAAAAUAAGUUUCUCAGUUCUUCAAGUAUUGCCCUAGAGUUUUAGGGUCUAAGAGUGUUGAAUGAGUUUUUGCAGAAAACUAGUUUGUGUUCCUGAUAAAAAUUCACAUUGAGUUGUUGACAAGUAUUUCAUUGAUUUGUUA